This 630-nucleotide ribosomal RNA is filed under the name uncultured archaeon. RNAcentral describes it as "bacterial SSU rRNA". It matches the Rfam family "Archaeal small subunit ribosomal RNA", at positions 147 to 776 of the family's 1478-position model. The record is from RNAcentral.
UAAUACUGGAUAGGCAAUUAUUCCUGUAAUGGUUUUUUGUUUAAAUGUUUUUUCGCCUAAGGAUGGGUCUGCGGCCGAUUAGGUAGUUGGUUAGGUAAUGGCUUACCAAGCCUUUGAUCGGUACGGGUUGUGAGAGCAAGAGCCCGGAGAUGGAACCUGAGACAAGGUUCUAGGCCCUACGGGGUGCAGCAGGCGCGAAACCUCCGCAAUGUGAGAAAUCGCGACGGGGGGAUCCCAAGUGCCAUUCUUAACGGGAUGGCUUUUCUUUAGUGUAAAAAGCUUUUGGAAUAAGAGCUGGGCAAGACCGGUGCCAGCCGCCGCGGUAACACCGGCAGCUCUAGUGGUAGCAAUUUUUAUUGGGCCUAAAGCGUCCGUAGCCGGUUUAAUAAGUCUCUGGUGAAAUCCUGUAGCUUAACUGUGGGAAUUGCUGGAGAUACUAUUAGACUUGAGACCGGGAGAGGUUAGAGGUACUCCCAGGGUAGAGGUGAAAUUCUGUAAUCCUGGGAGGACCGCCUGUUGCGAAGGCGUCUAACUGGAACGGUUCUGACGGUGAGGGACGAAAGUUAGGGGCGCGAACCGGAUUAGAUAACCCGGGUAGUCCUAACUGUAAACGAUGCGGACUUGGUGUAG